RNAcentral lists this long non-coding RNA (205 nucleotides) under Elaeis guineensis (African oil palm). RNAcentral's name for it is "long non-coding RNA (EGUI_LNC045640)". The record is from RNAcentral. Lineage: Eukaryota; Viridiplantae; Streptophyta; Magnoliopsida; Arecales; Arecaceae.
GGCCGGACUACUAGGUAAUUGGAGAGCAGAGGCAUAUUAAGAUUGACCAUAAGAUGGUUCAAUCUAUAAUGCACCUAGAGUUUGACCCAUAAAUCAUCCUAUGGCUCGGAUGAGUUUUUCAAAAAGUCCAUAACCAUUAGAUUUUGUUUUUAUGCUCUUACAUGUUGGUAGUUUGAAUUAAAGUUUAGAUUGCAUAUGAUGCAUG